CCUACGGGAGGCAGCAGUAGGGAAUAUUGCUCAAUGGGGGAAACCCUGAUGCAGCGACGCCGCGUGGCGGAUGAAGGUUUUCGGAUUGUAAACUCCUUUUGUUAGAGAAGAUAAUGAAGGUAUCUAACGUAUAAGCAACGGCUAACUCCGUGCCAGCAGCCGCGGUAAUACGGGGGGUGCAAGCGUUACUCGGUAGCACUGUGCGUAACGAGCGCGUAGGCGGGAUAGCAAGUCAGAUGUGAAAUCCUAUGGCUUAACCAGAGAACUGCAUUUGAAACUGUUAUUCUAGAGUGUGGGAGAGGUAGGGGGAAUUCUUGGUGUAGGGGUGAAAUCCGUAGAGAUCAAGAGGAAUACUCAUGGCGAAGGC
Molecule: ribosomal RNA, 367 nt
Filed under: uncultured bacterium
Lineage: Bacteria
Description: partial 16S ribosomal RNA
Rfam family: Bacterial small subunit ribosomal RNA
Source: RNAcentral